AGAAUCAACGCUGGCGGCGUGCCUAACACAUGCAAGUCGAACGGGAAAGUGGAGCAAUCCAUGAGUAUAGUGGCGACCGGGUGAGUAACACGUGACUAACCUACCCUUGAGUGGGGGAUAACCUCGGGAAACCGGGGCUAAUACCGCAUAAAAUCUUCGGGAUGAGAAGCUGGAGAUCAAAGGAGCAAUUCGCUUUUGGAGGGGGUCGCGGCUGAUUAGCUAGUUGGCGGGUAACGGCCCACCAAGGCUUUGAUCGGUAUCCGGCCUGAGAGGGCGCACGGACACACUGGAACUGAAACACGGUCCAGACUCCUACGGGAGGCAGCAGUGGGGAAUUUUGCGCAAUGGGGGAAACCCUGACGCAGCAACGCCGCGUGGAGGAUGAAGUCCCUUGGGACGUAAACUCCUUUCGACCGGGAAGAUGAUGACGGUACCGGUGGAAGAAGCCCGGCUAACUUCGUGCCAGCAGCCGC
Molecule: ribosomal RNA, 473 nt
Filed under: uncultured bacterium
Lineage: Bacteria
Description: SSU rRNA
Rfam family: Bacterial small subunit ribosomal RNA
Source: RNAcentral